Long non-coding RNA from Prunus persica (peach), 225 nucleotides. RefSeq lists it as uncharacterized. The record is from RefSeq and is a predicted model, not a curated record. Lineage: Eukaryota; Viridiplantae; Streptophyta; Magnoliopsida; Rosales; Rosaceae. The transcript has 2 exons.
GCAUUGUAAACCAAAGCAUUAGGCUUUGGUUCAAAUUCCUCAACCUCAACGUCAACCUCAACAAAAGGUUUUUUCACUUUUUCAUGGCAGUCGGCUUUCUCUUUUGGUGUUGAAUCAGAAAUAUCAACAAGGAGGCCUUCAAUUGCCCGUGGCAUAGGUUGCUCUUGCAUGACAUUUUUCCAGUAUUUCCCGGCAUCUCUUCUUGAAUCUGUAGUUUUGGCAAAC